This is a long non-coding RNA of Cyprinus carpio (common carp), 1214 nucleotides long. NCBI's taxonomy places the organism in Eukaryota, Metazoa, Chordata, Actinopteri, Cypriniformes, Cyprinidae. The record is from Ensembl.
ACAUACAUUUUAUUAUUUUAUUAUUAUUAUUAUUAUUAUAUUUAUUAAUUUUAUUUUAUUUUUAUAUUAUAUUAUUAUUAUACAUUUUAUUAUUAUAUUUAAUAAUACAAAUUAAAAUAUGAUGGGUGUGUGUGUGUGUGUGUGUGUGUGUGUGUGAUACAACACUGGACAGGCCUACGCCUACAAGGACAACUGGCCUGCCUGCCCUGUGCUGACCAGAACCUAUCACACACAGUUUUGAAAAACACAGCCCUACAAGACGACAUUUACAGAUUUACAAUUAAAGCUCGUCUUCAGGUACUACCAACAAAGUCCAACUUAGCAACCUGGUUUCCAUCUGCACAUGAGCCGUUCUGCCUGCAACAUCACAGCCGGCAAAGAGAGACGAUCGCGCACAUCCUUAACGGCUGCUCUGCCUAUAAAGGACUGUACAUCGCGCGCCACGACCGUAUCGUUGCACUCUCAGCGAAGGAGCUCAGAGACAAUGUCAGCCAUACCACAAUCCACUGUAACGAAAAGAUCAAGACAGACUGGUUCCCUCUUCCACAUGAACAGUGCGUUACAUUGGAAACUGCUACAAAUCACUUACCAAAUACACCGGAUAUAUUUGUAAUUAAUGAACACACCAAAGCUGUUACAAUAAUAGAAAUCGGUUGCUCUUUUGAUGCCUACAUGGACACCUGCUAUGCUUCAAAACUGUUGAAAUACCAACCAUGGUACAAUGUUUUUAAUAACUUUGGCUACUCUUGUAAAGUCAUUGCCCUCAUUUUUGGUAGUUUAGGCCAUGUGCACAAGUUGUGUGUAAGAGGCCUGCAGAUCUGUGGACUACAUAAGAACAAGGCCAAAAAACUGACGAGAUAUUGCUCUGUAUCAGCAGUAAUCGGUAGCCUCUACAUAUGGAGGCGCAGGUGCCACCUUUACCCUUAAUGUGCAAAAUGGACUGAGAUAUUGGCUGCUGUUGUACAUCUUUCUGUCAAAUUUGGAUUAAGUCAUGAUAUAUGCUUAUCUUUUAAUCCAAAUAAAGAAUUUAUGUGUGUGUGUGUGUGUGUAUAAACACAUACAUAUAUUAAAUACAUCAGCUGAUGAAUCAAGAACAGUCUUAACCAAAGUUUAAUGAAAUGGUACAAAAGAGACAGACAUAUUAAUAGAAUAACUCAGUGAGAUCAUGUUGAGAUAAUAUUCAUUCAUUCAUUCAUUCAUUCAUUUUUUAAAAA